RNAcentral lists this non-coding RNA (223 nucleotides) under Trichomonas vaginalis G3. RNAcentral describes it as "Eukaryotic small subunit ribosomal RNA". It matches the Rfam family "Eukaryotic small subunit ribosomal RNA", at positions 1 to 253 of the family's 1831-position model. The record is from Rfam by way of RNAcentral. Lineage: Eukaryota; Parabasalia; Trichomonadida; Trichomonadidae.
UACUUGGUUGAUCCUGCCAAGGAAGCACACUUAGGUCAUAGAUUAAGCCAUGCAGUGUUAGUUCAGUAACGAAACUGCGAUAGCUCAUAUACGCUCAGAUCUAUUUGCGCGACCACAGUCUUAAUGAUAGCAGCAGCACUCUGUGCUAUACAUGCGAUGUUCUCCGAUGUGAUAUGAGAAAGUGACCUCAUCGAAGCACGCCAUCGACUGAUGACCUAUCAGC